Molecule: ribosomal RNA, 544 nt
Filed under: uncultured bacterium
Lineage: Bacteria
Description: bacterial SSU rRNA
Rfam family: Bacterial small subunit ribosomal RNA
Source: RNAcentral
ACUGAAUAGAUACCCAGGUAGUCCAUGCCGUAAACUAUGGAUACUAGCUGCUGGGGGUAUCGACCCCUCCAGUAGCGAAAGCUAACGCGUUAAGUAUCCCGCCUGUGGAGUACGAUCGCAAGAUUAAAACAUAAAGGAAUUGACGGGGACCCGCACAAGCGGUGGAGCGUGUUCUUUAAUUCGAUGCUAAACGAAGAACCUUACCAGGGCUUGACAUCCCUUGAAUUACUCCGAAAGGAGUGAGUGCUUUAUUGAGCAAGGUGACAGGUGAUGCAUGGCCGUCGUCAGCUCGUGUCGUGAGAUGUUUGGUUAAAGUCCAUCAACGAGCGCAACCCUUAUACUUAGUUGUAUUUUUCUAGGUAGACUGCCCCGGUAACGGGGAGAAGGGGGGGAUGAUGUCAGGUCAGUAUUUCCCUUACGUCCUGGGCUAGAAACGCGCUACAAUGGCCGGUACAAUGCGGAGCUAAAAUCGCGAGAUGGAGCAAAAUCGCAUCAAAGCCGGUCCCAAUUCGGAUUGUAGGCUGAAACUCGCCUGCAUGAAGUC